Molecule: long non-coding RNA, 205 nt
Filed under: Solanum tuberosum (potato)
Lineage: Eukaryota; Viridiplantae; Streptophyta; Magnoliopsida; Solanales; Solanaceae
Description: long non-coding RNA (STUB_LNC004631)
Source: RNAcentral
UAACAGAGAUGAAAGUUUUAUAACGGUAAGGCUGGAAUAGGAGGCAUGGCCAGGGACAACACUAGAGAGUUCGUCUUUGCAUUUGCUAUUACCAUUCGGUGUAAAGAUCAUAUGCUACUGAGGAAACAACUGCUAAGUAUGUUGUUCAACGGCUGAAGAAUAAUGCACAUCAGCAGGGCAUUAUUGAUUGGAAUUCUUGAUUGUG